This is a long non-coding RNA of Nicotiana attenuata, 948 nucleotides long. RefSeq lists it as uncharacterized. The record is from RefSeq and is a predicted model, not a curated record. The transcript has 2 exons. Lineage: Eukaryota; Viridiplantae; Streptophyta; Magnoliopsida; Solanales; Solanaceae.
CCACGUCAUGCCUACUAUUAAUCCAGCUACAUAUUGGCUUAAGGAAAGCCAUUUACUACUUUUAUUUCAUGCAUGGAGAUAGAAGACCCACAGGUAGUGCACUUCUUUUCCCGGAGAAGAAGUAGACGAUAUUUGGAGAAUAAGUAUUGGCUAACUCUGUGCUAAUAAUUGCGGUAAUACAGAGAAUGCAAGCAUUCUUCGGAAUGAUUGAGCGUAGAGCGUCCGUAGGGCCCUACAGUCGCCUCCACACAGCAAACAAGGGCGGAGCUAGAGCUUCAGUAACGGGAAAUCAAUCAGAGAAGAUCAAGGAAUCAAGGAGCUACUACGAGAUUGCUCAAGUCAAUCUGGAUGCUUAAGGAAACAAAUCAAUUAGCAAAGAUUACAAAUCGAUCAGCAAAGAUCAUGGACAACUGCGAUGGAAAGAAUCUCUAAACUUAAGGCAACAAUCAAGGCCAGCACAUUCAAUCCGGAUUCUGAAAGAAGAUUAGCUGAGCUGCCAAUUGUGGAAGGACCAACAAUCAAGGAGUAAACCCUCAUCAUCAACAGCUGUAGAAGGAAAGCGAUCAAUUUGCGAUCAAUCUUCUCUCAUCAAGGAAGAGCAACGGCUAGCAAUCUUAUUCUUGGAAAGAAUCAUUCUCUUUCCAAGGAUCAAAUCUCUUGUGUUGUUAAAUCUCGUCAGCAAAAGGACUUCACCAAAAUAUUUGUACUCAGCAUCCAGCCUUAGACAGACAUACUUCGAUCGAACCAAAAAUCCUCUCUUUAUUCUACUGCAAACAAACAUUGUAGUUCUUUGAGACCUGCUGUGUAACAAGUCAGAGAAAGAGGAGAGUAUAACACUGGUGAGGCAUUGCAUCAAAAGAGACGAGUGUUAUAGGAACUGAGCUAUCACGUCAAUUCCAUUGUACUCAAAGAAACGCAUUUACUAAAGAUAACUCUCUUGCAACCCAA